Molecule: ribosomal RNA, 467 nt
Filed under: uncultured bacterium
Lineage: Bacteria
Description: bacterial SSU rRNA
Rfam family: Bacterial small subunit ribosomal RNA
Source: RNAcentral
UGCCAGACUCCUACGGGAGGCAGCAGUGAGGAAUAUUGGUCAAUGGUCGGGAGACUGAACCAGCCAAGCCGCGUGAGGGAGGAAGGUACAGAGUAUCGUAAACCUCUUUUGUCAGGGAACAAAGGCGGGGACGUGUCCCCGGAUGAGUGUACCUGAAGAAAAAGCAUCGGCUAACUACGUGCCAGCAGCCGCGGUAAUACGUAGGGGGCAAGCGUUAUCCGGAUUUACUGGGUGUAAAGGGAGCGUAGACGGCUAAUCAAGUCAGAAGUGAAAACCCAGGGCUCAACCUUGGGACUGCUUUUGAAACUGAGUAGCUAGAGUGCAGGAGAGGUAAGCGGAAUUCCUAGUGUAGCGGUGAAAUGCGUAGAUAUUAGGAGGAACACCAGUGGCGAAGGCGGCUUACUGGACUGUAACUGACGUUGAGGCUCGAAAGCGUGGGGAGCAAACAGGAUUAGAUACCCUAGUAA